RNAcentral lists this ribosomal RNA (292 nucleotides) under uncultured bacterium. Its description in RNAcentral is "partial 16S ribosomal RNA". It matches the Rfam family "Bacterial small subunit ribosomal RNA", at positions 505 to 796 of the family's 1533-position model. The record is from RNAcentral.
GUGCCAGCCGCCGCGGUAAUACGGAGGAUGCGAGCGUUAUCCGGAUUUAUUGGGUUUAAAGGGUGCGUAGGCGGAAUGGUAAGUCAGUGGUGAAAGUCUGCAGCUCAACUGUAGUUGUGCCAUUGAUACUGUCAUUCUUGAGUAUAGAUGAGGUAGGCGGAAUGAGUAGUGUAGCGGUGAAAUGCAUAGAUAUUACUCAGAACACCGAUUGCGAAGGCAGCUUACUAAACUAUAACUGACGCUGAGGCACGAAAGCGUGGGUAUCAAACAGGAUUAGAUACCCCAGUAGUCC